AGAGGAACUCAGAACAAUAAUACAACUCAUUAAAACCGUCUCUGUUAGUGUUUCCAACAAUCACCAACUCUGGUUUGGUGGAAAUAAAUCCUUAAUUCACCGACGUAGAUGAUAAAAACAGCAGUUUCAGUCGGAGCAGACCGGCUAUGGAAACAAACCACAGAGAGGCUGCGAUACAACACAGGCAGAGGGAGAGAGACACCAUGUGACUCUGUGUCUGUAUAUAGAGAAUAGCUGUUUGCAUUUUAAGAUAAAUAUAUAAAAUAAAUGUGAGGCCUGGUUAUCAUGGAGCUAGUGCAGUAAAAUCAGUCCAAUCUCUUAUUGAGCUUUCUUUCAUUAGUCUUUUUGAAAAAGCGGAAUGUGUUCCUGAGGUUUAUUCUGUCCAAACCAAGAUAACUGAGUAUCAACAUAACUUCUGAGGUCAGAGGUCACAGCGCCAUGGCAACAGGUUGGAUGAAAUAUUCCUGCACCCACAGAUGGAUCAAUGAUAUUUAUCUGCUUUUAGGACUGAGACUCUCCUCAGUGUGUGACUGCAGGAGUCUGACUGAGCUUCUUCUGCCAUCUAGUGGACGUUUGUACACACUGCAGGAGUCAGGGAGAACAGUGAAGCGUCUGCAGCUGAGCUGUACAUGCGAUCGGGUCUGAAGCUGAUAAUCAACCAUCGG
RNAcentral lists this long non-coding RNA (665 nucleotides) under Dicentrarchus labrax (European seabass). RNAcentral's name for it is "lncRNA (ENSDLAG00005028285.1)". The record is from RNAcentral. Lineage: Eukaryota; Metazoa; Chordata; Actinopteri; Moronidae.